GGGCCUCCUUUAGCAAGCAAGAAGAAAUCUGCAGGAACUGGGCCCGGGAAAAAGUCAAACCUUCUUGGUCAGAAGGCGUCGGCCCUGAACAGGGAGACCUCUGGCAGGUUUAAAUCUGCUUCAGCACCAUCCACUUCAAAAGCAACAUUGAUGAAACAGUGUGAGAACUUGUUGAAAAAGUUGAUGUCGCAUCAGCAUGGUCCCGUGUUUAAUGAGCCUGUUGACAUAGUUAAGUUAAAAAUACCCGACUAUUUCACUGUGAUUAAACAUCCAAUGGAUUUGGGGACAAUAAAGAAGAGGCUUACUUCAGGUGCGUACUUGAGUCCACUGGAAUUUCUUGCUGAUGUGAGACUGACAUUCUCCAAUGCAAUGAUCUAUAACCCCCCUGGUAAUAUUGUCCAUAUCAUGGCUGAUACAAUGAGCAAGUUUUUUGAACUAAGAUGGAAAACUAUUGAGAAAAAGCUACCUGUUAACCAUGCUGAAUCAGUGGAAGAAAAAUCCGGUUUGCAUGAAGAAAAUGAAACUGCUUCAAAGAAGAGGAGACUUUCUCCAAUGCAGCAUGUAAUUAUGCCAGAACCUCCUAAAUGCAAGAUGACUGAUGAAGAGAAACAUAAACUAAGCAGUGAACUAGAAGCUU
This 637-nucleotide long non-coding RNA is filed under the name Nicotiana tabacum (common tobacco). RNAcentral's name for it is "long non-coding RNA (NTAB_LNC002241)". Lineage: Eukaryota; Viridiplantae; Streptophyta; Magnoliopsida; Solanales; Solanaceae. The record is from RNAcentral.